RNAcentral lists this ribosomal RNA (712 nucleotides) under uncultured bacterium. Its description in RNAcentral is "bacterial SSU rRNA". It matches the Rfam family "Bacterial small subunit ribosomal RNA", at positions 54 to 757 of the family's 1533-position model. The record is from RNAcentral.
CAUGCAAGUCGAACGGUAGCACAGAGAGCUUGCUCUCGGGUGACGAGUGGCGGACGGGUGAGUAAUGUCUGGGAAACUGCCUGAUGGAGGGGGAUAACUACUGGAAACGGUAGCUAAUACCGCAUAACGUCGCAAGACCAAAGAGGGGGACCUUCGGGCCUCUUGCCAUCAGAUGUGCCCAGAUGGGAUUAGCUAGUAGGUGGGGUAACGGCUCACCUAGGCGACGAUCCCUAGCUGGUCUGAGAGGAUGACCAGCCACACUGGAACUGAGACACGGUCCAGACUCCUACGGGAGGCAGCAGUGGGGAAUAUUGCACAAUGGGCGCAAGCCUGAUGCAGCCAUGCCGCGUGUAUGAAGAAGGCCUUCGGGUUGUAAAGUACUUUCAGCGGGGAGGAAGGUGUUGCGGUUAAUAACCGCAGCAAUUGACGUUACCCGCAGAAGAAGCACCGGCUAACUCCGUGCCAGCAGCCGCGGUAAUACGGAGGGUGCAAGCGUUAAUCGGAAUUACUGGGCGUAAAGCGCACGCAGGCGGUCUGUCAAGUCGGAUGUGAAAUCCCCGGGCUCAACCUGGGAACUGCAUUCGAAACUGGCAGGCUAGAGUCUUGUAGAGGGGGGUAGAAUUCCAGGUGUAGCGGUGAAAUGCGUAGAGAUCUGGAGGAAUACCGGUGGCGAAGGCGGCCCCCUGGACAAAGACUGACGCUCAGGUGCGAA